GACGAACGCUGGCGGCGUGCUUAACACAUGCAAGUCGAACGGAAAGGCCAUGCUUUUGUGGGGUGCUCGAGUGGCGAACGGGUGAGUAACACGUGAGUAUCCUGCCCUUGACUUUGGGAUAACUUCAGGAAACUGGGGCUCAUACCGGAUAGGAGCUCCUGCUGCAUGGUGGGGGUUGGAAAGUUUCGGCGGUUGGGGCUGGACUCGCGGCUUAUCAGCUUGUUGGUGGGGUAGUGGCUUACCAAGGCUUUGACGGGUAGCCGGUCUGAGAGGGGGACCGGCCACAUUGGGACUGAGAUACGGACCAGACUCCUACGGGAGGCAGCAGUGGAGAAUAUUGCACAAUGGGCGGAAGCCUGAUGCAACAACGCCGCGUUCGGGAUGACGGCCUUCGGGUUGUAAACCGCUUUCGCCUGUGACGAAGCGUGAGUGACGGUAAUGGGUAAAGAAGCACCGGCUAACUACGUG
RNAcentral lists this ribosomal RNA (468 nucleotides) under uncultured bacterium. RNAcentral describes it as "partial 16S ribosomal RNA". It matches the Rfam family "Bacterial small subunit ribosomal RNA", at positions 28 to 507 of the family's 1533-position model. The record is from RNAcentral.